CGAAGGGUGCGAAGCGUUGUUCGGAUUAUUGGGCGUAAAGCGCGCGUAGGCGGACCCGCAAGUCAGAUGUGAAAUCUCAGGGCUCAACCCUGAAACUGCGUCUGAAACUACGGGUCUAGAAUCUUGGAGGGGGAAGGGGAAUUUCGCAUGUAGGGGUAAAAUCCGUAGAUAUGCGAAGGAACACCAGAGGCGAAGGCGCCUUCCUGGACAAGUAUUGACGCUGAGGCGCGAAAGCGUGGGGAUCAAACAGGAUUAGAUACCCUGGUAGUCCACGCUGUAAACGAUGAAUACUAGGUAUUGGGGGAUUUGACCCCUUCAGUGCCGCAGCUAACGCGUUAAGUAUUCCGCCUGGGAAGUACGGUCGCAAGACUA
Molecule: ribosomal RNA, 372 nt
Filed under: uncultured organism
Description: bacterial SSU rRNA
Rfam family: Bacterial small subunit ribosomal RNA
Source: RNAcentral